This 253-nucleotide ribosomal RNA is filed under the name uncultured Paracoccaceae bacterium. RNAcentral's name for it is "uncultured Rhodobacteraceae bacterium partial 16S ribosomal RNA". It matches the Rfam family "Bacterial small subunit ribosomal RNA", at positions 524 to 776 of the family's 1533-position model. Lineage: Bacteria; Pseudomonadati; Pseudomonadota; Alphaproteobacteria; Rhodobacterales; Paracoccaceae. The record is from RNAcentral.
UACGGAGGGGGCUAGCGUUAUUCGGAAUUACUGGGCGUAAAGCGCACGUAGGCGGACCAGAAAGUUGGGGGUGAAAUCCCGGGGCUCAACCUCGGAACUGCCUCCAAAACUCCUGGUCUUGAGUUCGAGAGAGGUGAGUGGAAUUCCGAGUGUAGAGGUGAAAUUCGUAGAUAUUCGGAGGAACACCAGUGGCGAAGGCGGCUCACUGGCUCGAUACUGACGCUGAGGUGCGAAAGCGUGGGGAGCAAACAGG